Molecule: ribosomal RNA, 344 nt
Filed under: uncultured bacterium
Lineage: Bacteria
Description: bacterial SSU rRNA
Rfam family: Bacterial small subunit ribosomal RNA
Source: RNAcentral
GUGAGUAGUUCAGAGUUUGAUCCUGGCUCAGGAUGAACGCUGGCGGCGUGCUUAACACAUGCAAGUCGAACGGACUUAUGUUGAAACCUAGUGAUAUAUAAGUUAGUGGCGGACGGGUGAGUAACGCGUGGAUAACCUGCCAUAUACAGGGGGAUAACACUUAGAAAUAGGUGCUAAUACCGCAUAAGCGCACAGCUUCGCAUGAAGCAGUGUGAAAAACUCCGGUGGUAUAUGAUGGAUCCGCGUCUGAUUAGCUGGUUGGCGGGGUAACGGCCCACCAAAGCGACGAUCAGUAGCCGGCCUGAGAGGGUGAACGGCCACAUUGGGACUGAGACACGGCCCAA